Molecule: ribosomal RNA, 400 nt
Filed under: phytoplankton environmental sample
Lineage: Eukaryota
Description: partial small subunit ribosomal RNA
Rfam family: Eukaryotic small subunit ribosomal RNA
Source: RNAcentral
AGCUCCAAUAGCGUAUAUUAAAGUUGUUGCAGUUAAAAAGCUCGUAGUUGGAGGUGUGGGGCGGACCCGGGCGCGCGCGUUCUGCGCCGGCUGGGGCCCCCCUUUCGCGAAGAAGGCCGCGCCCAUUCGCUUGGGCCCGGGCGGAGUCGCGUCGUUUACUGUGAACAAAUUAGGGUGUUCCAAGCAGGCCGGAGGCGGUUCGCCGCCAGUUCUCGUCUGGAUACAUUAGCAUGGGAUAAUGAGAGACAACCCCCGGCGCCAGUUGCUGGUCGGCUCGCGCCGCGGCGCCGGGGGUGAUGAUUAACAGGAACGGCUGUGGGUAUUCGUAUGACCAUGUCAGAGGUGAAAUUCUUGGAUUCUGGUCAGACGGACGACUGCGAAAGCAUUUACCAAGGAUGUU